RNAcentral lists this ribosomal RNA (1236 nucleotides) under uncultured Gammaproteobacteria bacterium. RNAcentral's name for it is "bacterial SSU rRNA". It matches the Rfam family "Bacterial small subunit ribosomal RNA", at positions 197 to 1415 of the family's 1533-position model. Lineage: Bacteria; Pseudomonadati; Pseudomonadota; Gammaproteobacteria. The record is from RNAcentral.
GAGACCAAAGCAUGGGACUUACGGGCCAUGCGCCAUUUGAUGAACCCAUAUGGGAUUAGCUAGUWGGUGGGGUAAAGGCUCACCAAGGCGACGAUCUCUAGCUGGUCUGAGAGGAUGACCAGCCACACUGGAACUGAGACACGGUCCAGACUCCUACGGGAGGCAGCAGUGGGGAAUAUUGCACAAUGGGGGGAACCCUGAUGCAGCCAUGCCGCGUGUAUGAAGAAGGCCUUCGGGUUGUAAAGUACUUUCGGUGAUGAGGAAGGURAUGWAUCUAAUAGGUKYAUUAAUUGACGUUAAUCACAGAAGAAGCACCGGCUAACUCCGUGCCAGCAGCCGCGGUAAUACGGAGGGUGCGAGCGUUAAUCGGAAUGACUGGGCGUAAAGGGCAUGUAGGCGGAUAAUUAAGUUAGGUGUGAAAGCCCUGGGCUCAACCUAGGAAUUGCACUUAAAACUGGUUAACUAGAGUAUUGUAGAGGAAGGUAGAAUUCCACGUGUAGCGGUGAAAUGCGUAGAGAUGUGGAGGAAUACCGGUGGCGAAGGCGGCCUUCUGGACAGAUACUGACGCUGAGAUGCGAAAGCGUGGGGAGCAAACAGGAUUAGAUACCCUGGUAGUCCACGCUGUAAACGAUGUCGAUUUGGAGUUUGUUGCCUAGAGUGAUGGGCUCCGAAGCUAACGCGAUAAAUCGACCGCCUGGGGAGUACGGCCGCAAGGUUAAAACUCAAAUGAAUUGACGGGGGCCCGCACAAGCGGUGGAGCAUGUGGUUUAAUUCGAUGCAACGCGAAGAACCUUACCUGGUCUUGACAUCCACAGAAUCUUGUAGAGAUACGAGAGUGCCUUCGGGAACUGUGAGACAGGUGCUGCAUGGCUGUCGUCAGCUCGUGUUGUGAAAUGUUGGGUUAAGUCCCGCAACGAGCGCAACCCUUAUCCUUUGUUGCCAUCGAUUMGGUCGGGAACUCAAAGGAGACUGCCGUUGAUAAAGCGGAGGAAGGUGGGGACGACGUCAAGUCAUCAUGGCCCUUACGACCAGGGCUACACACGUGCUACAAUGGCGUAUACAAAGGGAGGCGACCUCGCGAGAGUAAGCGGACCUCACAAAGUACGUCUAAGUCCGGAUUGGAGUCUGCAACUCGACUCCAUGAAGUCGGAAUCGCUAGUAAUCGUGAAUCAGAAUGUCACGGUGAAUACGUUCCCGGGCCUUGUACACACCGCCCGUCACACCAUGAGAGUGGGU